GAAGUGGUAAUCCAGUGGUAGAAUUCUCGCCUUCCGUGCGGGAGACCUGGGUUCGAUCUCCGGCCGAUACA
Molecule: transfer RNA, 71 nt
Filed under: Loxodonta africana (African savanna elephant)
Lineage: Eukaryota; Metazoa; Chordata; Mammalia; Proboscidea; Elephantidae
Rfam family: tRNA
About the family: Transfer RNA (tRNA) molecules are approximately 80 nucleotides in length. Their secondary structure includes four short double-helical elements and three loops (D, anti-codon, and T loops).
Source: Rfam by way of RNAcentral